AUGAGAACCCGAAAUUAGUAUUACAAAUACAGAAUAAGGAUUUUAUUCAUCACAUUCAUCUAGCACCUACACAUUUCCACAUCCAUCUUACUCUUAAAUAAAUUGAUGGUGUUGGAAACACUCAUCAUAUGCCAACCAUCCCACUAAACACUCAUCAUUCCACUAAACACUCAUUAUUCCACACACUCAUCAUUCCACUAAACACUCUUUACACCUUCUUUUGCCAGCCAUCUUCUACACCUUUAACAUCUCAACAUGCAAUUAGCUUUUAUUUAAUCAAAAUCUUAUCAUCAAUCCUCUGCCAUUUCAAUUAGACAAAAGCCAAGUUUUAAAAGCUAAGUUUCCUUCUAUUAGUUCAUCCGCUCUUUCCUUCUCUUUUCAACACACCCAACAAAGUUUAAAGUGCAGAGUAAUCAAGCAGAUUCAGAUCCAAAUUCAUUGUUAAAUUGUUGAUUCGCAGAUCAAACUUUGUGAGUUCAGAAAAUUAUCAAGGCUUCGAGCAUCAGAAGGAUUAGCACUGCUAUUCCGAUUCAGAGAUAAGGUUAAACGACAGGCUUUGCCUAUACAGGUGGGCAUUAUUUUAUUAUUACGUAUAUAGAGAUCCCCUGCGUGACGUAGGCCUCAUAUGCGAAUAUAUAUGCAUGAUAUGUUUUGACUAUUUAUUCAGUUCUUAUGAAAUGCUUAUAUGUUUAAUGCCCUUUAUGAAAAUGAAAAUGUUAUGAAAAUGAAAUGUUUAUGAAAUGAUUGACUGCCAAAAUGUUUAUGUUUUUAUAUGUAUCCUAUCUGUGUUGGUUCGCCAACUUUAAAGGAAAUCCAAUUGGGAUCCUAUGCUAGACAAAGGUCGCUAGCUAGGGUUAACGUGUACACUCAUGGAGACCGCGAGUCGCUUGCGACCGGUCUUGGCGUCCGUGGUAAGGAGGCAUCCUUCCCGGCGCAUGAUAGAAAGGAACAGAUAUGGAUCAUAUGAAGGAAAAUGAUCGGCCGAUCGACUUUAUGAAAAUGAAAGAAAUAUUUUAGUAAGCGCAGGUCAUUUAAGAAAACCCCUGUGUGUUACUGUUAUGGCAGUUCAAUUUAUAUAUGUAUGCAUGAAUGUAUUUUCGGCUAUGCCCACUGAGUAUUUUUAUACUCAGCCCUGCAUGUAUUUCUAAAUGUGCAGGUUGAGCAGUUGAUGGAAUGGAAUGAUGUUGAGCGGGUGUUCCUUUGACAUUUCAAGAAAUGUAACCUUGAGUAUACAUCUUCAUAUGUAUAUCUCACACGUUUUCCGCUGCAAAACACUUUGAUUAGGAUAACUUUAUGUUAUGAAAUUGUGACACGUGUUAUUGGGUAACCCACCUUAAUCAGUUCUCAUUUAUGUGUAUGUUUUAUAAGUAUCCAAAUAAUCAUAUAUGAUCCUAGCAUUUUAUCUAUGAGUGACAUUUCCAUAUACUUUAAUGUUAAGUAAUUGUCCAUUUCCA
Salvia miltiorrhiza (redroot sage) is the source of this 1454-nucleotide long non-coding RNA. RefSeq lists it as uncharacterized. The transcript has 3 exons. NCBI's taxonomy places the organism in Eukaryota, Viridiplantae, Streptophyta, Magnoliopsida, Lamiales, Lamiaceae. The record is from RefSeq and is a predicted model, not a curated record.